Molecule: ribosomal RNA, 253 nt
Filed under: uncultured bacterium
Lineage: Bacteria
Description: partial 16S ribosomal RNA
Rfam family: Bacterial small subunit ribosomal RNA
Source: RNAcentral
UACGUAGGGGGCAAGCGUUGUCCGGAUUUAUUGGGCGUAAAGAGCGUGUAGGCGGCCAGAUAGGUCCGUUGUGAAAACUGGAGGCUUAACCUCCAGCUGUCGAUGGAAACCAUCUGGCUAGAGUCCGGAAGAGGAGAGUGGAAUUCCUGGUGUAGCGGUGAAAUGCGCAGAUAUCAGGAAGAACACCUGUGGCGAAGGCGGCUCUCUGGGACGGUACUGACGCUGAGACGCGAAAGCGUGGGGAGCGAACAGG